GCUAUACAUGCAAGUCGAACGAGAUUUAAGACUUCGGUUUUAAUGAAAGUGGCGCACGGGUGCGUAACGCGUAUGCAACCUACCCUAUACAGGGGGAUAGCCCGGAGAAAUCUGGAUUAAUACCCCAUGGUAUCAUUGAGCUGCAUGGUUUAAUGAUUAAAGAUUCAUCGGUAUAGGAUGGGCAUGCGUCUGAUUAGCUAGUUGGCGGUGUAACGGACCACCAAGGCGACGAUCAGUAGGGGUUCUGAGAGGAAGGUCCCCCACACUGGCACUGAGAUACGGGCCAGACUCCUACGGGAGGCAGCAGUAGGGAAUAUUGGGCAAUGGACGAGAGUCUGACCCAGCCAUGCCGCGUGCAGGAAGACGGCGUUCUGCGUUGUAAACUGCUUUUAUCUGGGAAGAAAAGGCCCUUGCGAGGGACAUUGCCGGUACCAGAUGAAUAAGCACCGGCUAACUCCGUGCCAGCAGCCGCGGUAAUACGGAGGGUGCAAGCGUUGUCCGGAUUUAUUGGGUUUAAAGGGUGCGUAGGCGGCUGUUUAAGUCAGUGGUGAAAGACUCCGGCUCAACCGGAGCAGUGCCAUUGAUACUGGACAGCUUGAGUAUUGGAGGGGUACAUGGAAUUGAUGGUGUAGCGGUGAAAUGCAUAGAUACCAUCAGGAACACCGAUAGCGAAGGCAUUGUACUGGCCAAUAACUGACGCUGAUGCACGAAAGCAUGGGUAGCGAACAGGAUUAGAUACCCUGGUAGUCCAUGCCGUAAACGAUGAUUACUCGCUGUUAU
RNAcentral lists this ribosomal RNA (780 nucleotides) under Algoriphagus sp. BND1 FL06. Its description in RNAcentral is "bacterial SSU rRNA". It matches the Rfam family "Bacterial small subunit ribosomal RNA", at positions 48 to 826 of the family's 1533-position model. Lineage: Bacteria; Pseudomonadati; Bacteroidota; Cytophagia; Cytophagales; Cyclobacteriaceae. The record is from RNAcentral.